This 443-nucleotide ribosomal RNA is filed under the name uncultured bacterium. RNAcentral describes it as "partial 16S ribosomal RNA". It matches the Rfam family "Bacterial small subunit ribosomal RNA", at positions 338 to 795 of the family's 1533-position model. The record is from RNAcentral.
CCUACGGGAGGCAGCAGUGGGGAAUAUUGGGCAAUGGAGGAAACUCUGACCCAGCAACGCCGCGUGAAUGAUGAAGGUCUUCGGAUUGUAAAGUUCUUUUCUAAGGGAAGAAGAACGUGACGGUCCCUUAGGAGUAAGCCUCGGCUAACUACGUGCCAGCAGCCGCGGUAAUACGUAGGAGGCAAGCGUUAUCCGGAAUGACUGGGCGUAAAGGGUGCGUAGGUGGUUUUAUAAGUUGGUAGCGUAACUCCGAGGCUCAACCUCGGCACUACUACCAAAACUGUCGGACUUGAGUGCAGGAGGGGCAAAUGGAAUUCCUAGUGGAGCGGUGGAAUGCGUAGAUAUUAGGAGGAACACCAGUGGCGAAGGCGAGUUGCUGGACUGUAACUGACACUGAGGCACGAAAGCGUGGGGAGCAAACAGGAUUAGAUACCCUAGUAGUC